RNAcentral lists this ribosomal RNA (578 nucleotides) under uncultured Rhodococcus sp. RNAcentral describes it as "bacterial SSU rRNA". It matches the Rfam family "Bacterial small subunit ribosomal RNA", at positions 102 to 694 of the family's 1533-position model. Lineage: Bacteria; Bacillati; Actinomycetota; Actinomycetes; Mycobacteriales; Nocardiaceae. The record is from RNAcentral.
ACGGGUGAGUAACACGUGGGUGAUCUGCCCUGCACUUCGGGAUAAGCCUGGGAAACUGGGUCUAAUACCGGAUAUGACCUCAGGCUGCAUGACUUGGGGUGGAAAGAUUUAUCGGUGCAGGAUGGGCCCGCGGCCUAUCAGCUUGUUGGUGGGGUAAUGGCCUACCAAGGCGACGACGGGUAGCCGACCUGAGAGGGUGACCGGCCACACUGGGACUGAGACACGGCCCAGACUCCUACGGGAGGCAGCAGUGGGGAAUAUUGCACAAUGGGCGAAAGCCUGAUGCAGCGACGCCGCGUGAGGGAUGACGGCCUUCGGGUUGUAAACCUCUUUCAGCAGGGACGAAGCGCAAGUGACGGUACCUGCAGAAGAAGCACCGGCUAACUACGUGCCAGCAGCCGCGGUAAUACGUAGGGUGCAAGCGUUGUCCGGAAUUACUGGGCGUAAAGAGUUCGUAGGCGGUUUGUCGCGUCGUUUGUGAAAACCAGCAGCUCAACUGCUGGCUUGCAGGCGAUACGGGCAGACUUGAGUACUGCAGGGGAGACUGGAAUUCCUGGUGUAGCGGUGAAAUGCGCAGA